RNAcentral lists this ribosomal RNA (473 nucleotides) under uncultured bacterium. Its description in RNAcentral is "bacterial SSU rRNA". It matches the Rfam family "Bacterial small subunit ribosomal RNA", at positions 8 to 526 of the family's 1533-position model. The record is from RNAcentral.
AGAGUUUGAUCAUGGCUCAGAACGAACGCUGGCGGCAGGCUUAACACAUGCAAGUCGAACGCCCUAGCAAUAGGGAGUGGCAGACGGGUGAGUAACGCGUGGGAACCUUCCCAGUGGUACGGAAUAGCCCAGGGAAACUUGGAGUAAUACCGUAUAAUACCCGAAAGGGGAAAGAUUUAUCGCCAUUGGAUGGGCCCGCGUCGGAUUAGCUAGUUGGUGAGGUAAUGGCUCACCAAGGCGACGAUCCGUAGCUGGUCUGAGAGGAUGAUCAGCCACACUGGGACUGAGACACGGCCCAGACUCCUACGGGAGGCAGCAGUGGGGAAUAUUGGGCAAUGGGCGCAAGCCUGACCCAGCCAUGCCGCGUGAGUGACGAAGGCCUUAGGGUUGUAAAGCUCUUUUGGCGGGGACGAUAAUGACGGUACCCGCAGAAUAAGCCCCGGCUAACUUCGUGCCAGCAGCCGCGGUAAUAC